UACGUAGGGUGCAAGCGUUGUCCGGAAUUAUUGGGCGUAAAGAGCUCGUAGGCGGUUUGUCGCGUCUGCUGUGAAAACCCGAGGCUCAACCUCGGGCCUGCAGUGGGUACGGGCAGACUAGAGUGCGGUAGGGGAGAUUGGAAUUCCUGGUGUAGCGGUGGAAUGCGCAGAUAUCAGGAGGAACACCAAUGGCGAAGGCAGAUCUCUGGGCCGUAACUGACGCUGAGGAGCGAAAGCAUGGGGAGCGAACAGG
This 253-nucleotide ribosomal RNA is filed under the name uncultured bacterium. RNAcentral describes it as "partial 16S ribosomal RNA". It matches the Rfam family "Bacterial small subunit ribosomal RNA", at positions 524 to 776 of the family's 1533-position model. The record is from RNAcentral. RNAcentral also lists the same sequence under 1 other name.